Long non-coding RNA from Nicrophorus vespilloides, 1431 nucleotides. RefSeq lists it as uncharacterized. The transcript has 3 exons. The record is from RefSeq and is a predicted model, not a curated record. NCBI's taxonomy places the organism in Eukaryota, Metazoa, Arthropoda, Insecta, Coleoptera, Silphidae.
UUCGCAUUUUCCAAUGAACAUUACUCACAUUUCUUGUACUGAAAUUUCUAACUAAUUUUCAACGAUUUUUCUCCGAAACCGACUAAUUUAUUUACAAAGUUACGUAAAGUCUCCCUCUUCUCGACACUUCUUCGACAUCGUUCAAGAGCUGAGCAGAUGCAAAAGACGAUUUGUUCCCAAGCAAAAAAAAAAGUAAAGCUAUUUCCACGCAAACCGUAAACAUCAGGAACAAUGGUUCUGCAAACGCACGGGACAAGGUGUUAAGAGAUUCUGCACGUCUAUUUCCAGACGCCUCUCCUGUUGUUCACCUUUUGCCCAACCUGGAAAUAGGCGAAAAUUCGUCGUCCGACCGAGGAAAAACUGUUGCACCGCAAUCAAGAAGGCCACAAUUUCCACACGACGAUGAAUUAAUAAAUAAUAAUAGAAACAAAAGAAAAAGAAAAAAAUAAGAAGGAAAAUUAAGUGGUCGAGGGAAAUAAAUCUCGAUUGUUCAUUUGCAAAUAGCGAUUAUUAAGUUCCACCUUCGCCGACGCUGAGGUCAUAUGCAAUCACCGUUUGUGAAAACAAAGGAAUAGAUUGCGUAACCAUGGUAAUAACCACGGUAACAACCAGAAUGUUCUGCGAGCGCGCUCGAGGCCGUUGAUAAGGAGUUGCUGAUGACGCAAGGGCGGCCGAUGGAAACAAAUGCAACAAAGUGAGAUCACCACGGGGAAUCCCCGUCCCGCCGACUCGACCCGAUUAACUCGCAGCACUUGCAGAGUGCUUUUCAUCGUGGGACGUCGCCGCCACCCUUCUUACUGUUACAACCAUAAUAAUUUCAUCGACUUUCAAUGUGUUUCAAUCAAUUCCGUUGGACUUGUGGAUUUGUCUUUUUCCACUUUGCUGCCGUUGCAUUUGAACCGCCAGCAAAGAGAAAAGGGCUGCUGCACAACAUCCCAAUCUUCAUCGUCAAAGAAGAAACGAAAAAAAGGGUUCCUCUUUUCUCGUCUUCGUUUCACUUUUCACUUCAGUUGGAUUGGCUUUGGUGAGGAAAUCAUUGGAUUGCAGAUGAUGAUGAUGAGUAGAAGGAGGAUGAGGAAAAGCAGCCAAGAAGCAAACAUGACCUGGAGUAACCCAUUUCGGGACGCCAAACAUUGCCCUCGCGAUCUCUAAGCUAUUUAACAGGAAAUCAUAAUUUUCCGCAAACUCGCACCGUUUUAUUUUUAUCUACGUUUUGCGCCCAUCCCGACCUUACCUACAAAGCCUCGACACUCGAUCACAUAUUUAACAUACUUCUUAUUUUUGCUCGACAUACAAAAUAUAUAUAUAUGUAAGAGAAACUAUACAGCAGGCACGAAUUUCACUGUUAUCUUUCCAGCGACAAUUCGACGAACGCAUUCCGAAGACUGAAGUAGUUCUUAUCUAUGCUCGCAAAAUAUUUACAAUUUACAA